GACAUAGGUCGCAAACGUUAUCCGGAAUUAUUGGGCGUAAAGCGCACGUAGGCGGCUUGGCAAGUCGGAUGUGAAAUCCCUCGGCUCAACCAAGGAAGUGCAUCCGAAACUGCCGAGCUUGAGUACUUAAGAGGAUCGCGGAAUUCCCGGUGUAGAGGUGAAAUUCGUAGAUAUCGGGAGGAACACCAGUGGCGAAGGCGGCGAUCUGGGAAGAUACUGACGCUGAGGUGCGAAAGCGUGGGGAGCAAACAGG
This 253-nucleotide ribosomal RNA is filed under the name uncultured bacterium. Its description in RNAcentral is "partial 16S ribosomal RNA". It matches the Rfam family "Bacterial small subunit ribosomal RNA", at positions 524 to 776 of the family's 1533-position model. The record is from RNAcentral.